Molecule: long non-coding RNA, 1434 nt
Organism: Tribolium castaneum (red flour beetle)
Lineage: Eukaryota; Metazoa; Arthropoda; Insecta; Coleoptera; Tenebrionidae
Exons: 3
Source: RefSeq, a predicted model, not a curated record
UUGUAGCUACUCAUAUGCUGCUUAUGAGAGAAAUAUGUACAGUUCAAGAUUAUUUUCGAUAGUUUUGGCAGACUUCCAUGUGCUACUAUCACACAAGACUCAAUUCUUCUUUUUCUUUUGUUUCAAAAUGUUUUAUUAUUAUUUUACUUUUUAUACACAUAGGUAUUUAUUUUUCAUGAACGUGACAGAAUACCUUAGUUUCUAAAAAGCUGUAGUAUUUUUGAAGUUUUUUAUUAUGGAAUAAUUACUUCAUGUUUUCUACUUUUGAGUGUCAAAUAAUUUGACGUCUGUGGCAACCGAAUGCGCGUUAGUGCCUGCCUCAGCGCGACCAAUGUAUGUGAUAAAAGUUAGCUGUAGUAAAAUUGAACCGUGGCAGAUAUCACAAUAAAUUAAAUCGUUAUGUAACAAAUAAAUCAAGACCACACGCAUACCAGCAAUAGCAAGAUCUCCGUGUCAUUGUGGGAUAUUUAUCAUCACAAUCGCCACGGCGUUCCAAAAUACGAUAAAGUUAAUUUAAAUAAAUAACCGAUCCGUCAAAAUUCCAGUUUCACCAUGGAAAUUUACGUUGAGCUGGGAGUGGAUGUGGUAAGGAAAACGAACUGGGGAUGGGAAAUUUAUCAAAUCCUGCUCAGAUUCCGAACUUUCUUCCGGCACAGAGGCCACCGGUUCCUCCCCGGGCCAAUCGCAUUCGUCUAAAUGUGACUAAUUUCGAAUAAAGACGGUUUAAACUUAGAACUCAUCAUUUCUUCGUCACGUCGUUCUAUUUUCGAGUGAAAAACUGCUGGUGUUAAUGUGUGGUCGACGCUGAUGACCUGUGUUUGAACAACAAUACAUUUGCAGUUCGUGAAUUGCACAGAGUUCUGGGUGGGCUGACAGAUCUGGCUGCCUGCCAGCGUCGAGGUGCGAGCUUGUUAAUUGAGAGAUUGCUAUUUGGUCAACAAUAUUUUCCAAAGGACAAACUUAAUCUGGCGAUGUAUAAAUAUUGUCGCGUCUGCAACUUAUGAUUAAAGCGCGACAUCUGCUCUGCCAGGAAUUUGGACUGCUGAGGGGUCCUUUUUUUCUGCGACACUGCGCUCCAAGACGACGAAUAAAUUAUGCCGCACGGACAAUUACAAACACAAUUAAAAUUAACUACUUCAAGCCACAAACUUUUACACAAAUAAUUUCGCAAACAUUGGCACUUUUUUCGAGGGUUCGUCCAAUAGAUAAUAAAAAAUAGUCGCAUUAUUUAGACCAGUCAAGUAACAAAAGAUCUGAAACUAUUUUAAAUUAAUUUAUUUGCGAAAAGUGUUUGAUCAAGCUCCGAAAAAAACACAAAAAUCGUUUUCGGAGAACACAAAAACCCUCAAAUCUUGAGUAAAGUGUAAAUAACAUCUCUAUUUAAGUAUUUGUGUUAUAAGAGGAUGUUCAAUAAACGUCAACUAUUUUUCCCAA